AUAAGCCUCAUAAGCUUUGUUUUUGCCACGACAGUGCAAUUUGUUGGGUAUACAGUGGUUGAGGUGUGUCGAUAGGCCCAAUGUUGACAUCAACGAGGCCCAACAGCUGUUAACACUCGUUUCAGAACCCUUUCUUUCUCUCUUGGGUUUCUCACUUCUCACUCUCCCCAUCUUUUUUCAGUUUUUGUUUAACACAUAUUGAAGGUUAGGUGUCAAUAUUGAAUAACAGCUGAACACAGCUGAACAUUCACACUUAACAGCAUUUUGAAUCUGCAACUAAACCUUACUACCAAAUACUUUUUUUUUUUUAUUUACUACCAUGAUUUCAAUGCCAAGAUUCACUGCAUCUUCAACGUGAAUCUAUUUGUUCCACCCAAUUUUCCUCAUUCCCAAUCAUAAGUCAGAGCCAUGACUAUUAUGCCACUGAUGUUUCGGUCAAUAGUGAGACUGCUCACAUCACUAGUGUCUCAACCAGCGGCCUCUGUCACCACCAUUCUCUACUACAGUGGUCUCCUCCCUCGAAACCUGAAUUUGGAGCGAUUGGUUAGGACUGAAUUCCUUGAUCGAGAGAACUAUAUGUUCCAUUUUCUCAUCAACAUGAUGAGGUGUUUCUGGUAGCUGAGCACCAUCCCCCACAUAAAUUCUUAUCUCCUAUGGCUAUGGUUAAUCUUAUUUUUGUUAUGGUAGAAACUUUAAGAAAAGUUAGGUACUCCUUUCAAAAAAAAGUUAGGUACUUAGCUACUAGUAUAUGAACCCCAAUUUGUUUCAGAUUGGACCAUAUUUUUAAUGCAAUCAUACCCAUUGAUGGAUUA
Molecule: long non-coding RNA, 812 nt
Organism: Quercus lobata
Lineage: Eukaryota; Viridiplantae; Streptophyta; Magnoliopsida; Fagales; Fagaceae
Exons: 2
Source: RefSeq, a predicted model, not a curated record